Molecule: ribosomal RNA, 253 nt
Filed under: uncultured bacterium
Lineage: Bacteria
Description: partial 16S ribosomal RNA
Rfam family: Bacterial small subunit ribosomal RNA
Source: RNAcentral
UACGGAGGGUGCAAGCGUUGUCCGGAUUUAUUGGGUUUAAAGGGUGCGUAGGCGGUUCUUUAAGUCUGGGGUGAAAGCCCGUUGCUCAACAACGGAACUGCCCUGGAAACUGGGGAACUUGAGUACAGACGAGGGUGGCGGAAUGGAGGGUGUAGCGGUGAAAUGCAUAGAUACCCUCCAGAACCCCGAUUGCGAAGGCAGCUGCCUAGACUGUAACUGACGCUGAGGCACGAAAGCGUGGGGAGCGAACAGG